Molecule: small RNA, 4180 nt
Filed under: Pongo abelii (Sumatran orangutan)
Lineage: Eukaryota; Metazoa; Chordata; Mammalia; Primates; Hominidae
Description: retained intron
Source: RNAcentral
CUAGUGUGUGGAGGUGAGCUCCAGGAUUGCGUGGUUGCCUCAUGCUGCAGGCUGCGGCCGUCAGCCCCCACUCGCAUUGGUGGCGCUGAGGUGCCGGGGCAGCAAGCGACAUGUCGUCGGGCCUCCGCGCCGCUGACUUCCCCCGCUGGAAGCGCCACAUCUCGGAGCAACUGAGGCGCCGGGACCGGCUGCAGAGACAGGCGUUCGAGGAGAUCAUCCUGCAGUAUAACAAAUUGCUGGAAAAGUCAGAUCUUCAUUCAGUGUUGGCCCAGAAACUACAGGCUGAAAAGCAUGACGUACCAAACAGGCAUGAGAUAAGUCCUGGACAUGAUGGCACAUGGAAUGACAGUCAGCUACAAGAAAUGGCCCAACUGAGGAUUAAGCACCAAGAGGAACUGACUGAAUUACACAAGAAACGUGGGGAGUUAGCUCAAUUGGUGAUUGACCUGAAUAACCAAAUGCAGCGGAAGGACAGGGAGAUGCAGAUGAAUGAAGCAAAAAUUGCAGAAUGUUUGCAGACUAUCUCUGACCUGGAGACGGAGUGCCUAGACCUGCGCACUAAGCUUUGUGACCUUGAAAGAGCCAACCAGACCCUGAAGGAUGAAUAUGAUGCCCUGCAGAUCACUUUUACUGCCUUGGAGGGAAAACUGAGGAAAACUACGGAAGAGAACCAGGAGCUGGUCACCAGAUGGAUGGCUGAGAAAGCCCAGGAAGCCAAUCGGCUUAACGCAGAGAAUGAAAAAGACUCCAGGAGGCGGCAAGCCCGGCUGCAGAAAGAGCUUGCAGAAGCAGCAAAAGAACCUCUACCAGUCGAACAGGAUGAUGACAUUGAGGUCAUCGUGGAUGAAACCUCUGAUCACACAGAAGAGACCUCUCCUGUGCGAGCCAUCAGCAGAGCAGCCACGUAAGUAGGCAGGUUUGGGCCAGGGAAAAGACAGCUUGAGGAGCAAUACGAAGGCACAUCUGUGGACAUGACAAAGAAUGCAGUCAGAUGCACCCAACCCCCUACCCCUUUGCUGGGACACCCAGCGUCGAACACACCACAGAGGUGUCCAGUCUUUCUCAGUUCACCUCUGCUUAAUGGGAGGGAAGCAGAACACAGGUGGCUUCAAAUGCUUCUAAAUUCAAAAAAAUGUAGUGGCUUACUAAAAUAUGGACAGUGAAACCUUAUUAAGCAGAAUGAUUGUUUAGGUUUAGAUCAUCCUGUUUCAUUCUUACUAGGGCUUCCCCCAGACCCCACCGCCCUUCAAGAGUGGGGAUUGGUUACUAACACUCAGAAAUUGUGAAGUUAGUUAGCCAGGAAUUGUGAGGUUAGUUGUCUAAUGCUUUAUUUCCAGGGAAAUUAAUUUAAUACCAGGGAACCUUGUUUCUUUUGAAACUUCUAGGCUGGGUUUUCCCUUUUCCCUUCCCACUAUUUUCUGGCAGUUUGGUACUGUGUUGGGUUUCUCUUGGCUGGGGUUUGGGAACUACAUGGGAAACAUAUUCCCAGGUACCUGUUUUUGUGGGCUGUUUAUUGAUUGAUUAUUUGGGCAAAAUGUUUCUAAGGUUUAAACCUAUCCUCCCCUCCUCUUUAGUAAGCGACUCUCACAGCCUGCUGGAGGCCUUCUGGAUUCUAUCACUAAUAUCUUUGGGAGACGCUCUGUCUCUUCCUUCCCAGUCCCCCAGGACAAUGUGGAUACUCAUCCUGGUUCUGGUAAAGAAGUGAGGGUACCAACUACUGCCUUGUGUGUGUUCGAUGCACAUGAUGGGGAAGUCAAUGCUGUGCAGUUCAGUCCAGGUUCCCGGUUACUGGCCACCGGAGGCAUGGACCGCAGGGUUAAGCUUUGGGAAGUAUUUGGAGAAAAAUGUGAGUUCAAGGGUUCCCUAUCUGGCAGUAAUGCAGGAAUUACAAGCAUUGAAUUUGAUAGUGCUGGAUCUUACCUCUUAGCAGCUUCAAAUGAUUUUGCAAGCCGAAUCUGGACUGUGGAUGAUUAUCGGUUACGGCACACACUCACGGGACACAGUGGGAAAGUGCUGUCUGCUAAGUUCCUGCUGGACAAUGCGCGGAUUGUCUCAGGAAGUCACGACCGGACUCUCAAACUCUGGGAUCUACGCAGCAAAGUCUGUGAGGAAAUUCAGUCUCUCUGUCUGUGUGUAUGCUUAGAUGUUAGUGUGGAGGUGUGUGUUUGCACGUCAGAGCCUGCAUUUAUGUAAUAUAGUUUGAAUUUCAGAUCUGGCUUCAUGUUUAGAGGGGCACUGAGAGUAGUGAUAGUUUUUCUUGUUUAAAGCUUCAUUUAAGUGAGUAACUCUGACAAGUCCGUGGUUAGAGGGUAGCAGCAUUAUGUAAACAGCCACGUUGGUGCCUCUGCUUGAUUAAUGAUGUUUGCAUUUCUUGCAGGCAUAAAGACAGUGUUUGCAGGAUCCAGUUGCAAUGAUAUUGUCUGCACAGAGCAAUGUGUAAUGAGUGGACAUUUUGACAAGAAAAUUCGUUUCUGGGACAUUCGAUCAGAGAGCAUAGUUCGAGAGAUGGAGCUGUUGGGAAAGAUUACUGCCCUGGACUUAAACCCAGAAAGGACUGAGCUCCUGAGCUGCUCCCGUGAUGACUUGCUAAAAGUUAUCGAUCUCCGAACAAAUGCUAUCAAGCAGACGUUCAGUGCACCUGGGUUCAAGUGUGGCUCUGACUGGACCAGAGUUGUCUUCAGCCCUGAUGGCAGUUACGUGGCGGCAGGCUCUGCUGAGGGCUCUCUCUAUAUCUGGAGUGUGCUCACAGGGAAAGUGGAAAAGGUUCUUUCAAAGCAGCACAGCUCAUCCAUCAAUGCGGUGGCGUGGUCGCCCUCUGGCUUGCACGUUGUCAGUGUGGACAAAGGAUGCAAAGCUGUGCUGUGGGCACAGUAUUGACGGGGCUCUCAGGGCUGGGAGGACCCCAGUGCCCUCCUCAGAAGAAGCACGUGGGCUCCUGCAGCCCUGUCCUGGCAGGUGAUGUGCUGGGUAUAGCAUGGACCUCCCAGAGAAGCUCAAGCUAUGUGGCACUGUAGCUUUGCCAUGAACGGGAUUUCUGAAGAUUUGACUGAGGUCUCUCUUGGCCUGGAAGAAGAACACUGAAAAAACCUGACGCUGCGGUCACUUAGCAGAGGCUCAGGUUCUUGCCUUGGGAAACACUACUAGCUCUGACCUUCCAUACCUCACUUGGGGGAGCACAGGGCCCCGCUGGGCCUUCUCACCAACGGCAGUGCCAAAAACAGCCCCCACAUCAAGGUGGUGUUCUCUGUGCUUUCUCUCGUCCUUCCAAAGUCGGUUCUGGCCUAACGCAUGUCCCAACACCUUGGGGUCGUUUGCCCAGUGAACUCACUUUAAGCAUUGGAUUAACGGAAACUCCCAGACUACAGACCCCUCCCUGGUGGGUUGCAUGAAUGUGUCUCAUUACUGCUGAAAUGUCCUCACAUCUCUUCCACUGUUCUUCAGAGCUUUCUGGCUCUCUUUCCCCCACAAGAUUCGACAUAUUUAAAAAUCUCUGGCUUUAAAAAAUGGUUUUUUGUUUUUUUGAGGUGGGAGAGGAUGUGUGAACAUCUUUUCCACAGAAAUGGGUUUGCUGCAGAGGUAAGGAUGUGUUCCUGUAUCGAUCUGCAGACACCCAGAAGGUGGGUGCACACUGCAUGCUUAGGGGUGCCAAGGGAUUCGAGACCUCCAACAUAUUUGUCUGAAGCUGGUGAUUCUGGCCACGGCCCCUCUGCCAAGCCUGUGUGUGAUGCCCUUGGUUCUUUAGUGCAAGAAGCCUAGGCUCAGAAGCACAGCAGCGCCAUCUCUCCGUUUCAGGGGUUGUGAUGAAGGCCAAGGAAAAACAUUUAUCUUUACCAUUUUACCUGUGUAUAAAGUUUUAGUUCAUUGGGUGUGUGAAACACCCUUUUUAUCACUUUUAAAUUUGCACUUUAUUUUUUUCUUCCAUGCUUGUUCUCUGGACAUUUGGGGAUGUGAGUGCUAGAGCCGGUGAGAGAGGAGUCAGGCGGCCUUCCCACCGAUGGUCCUGGCCUCCACCUGCCUUCUCUUUCCUGCCUGAUCACCGCUUUCCAAUUUGCCCUUCAGAGAACUUAAGUCAAGGAGAGUUGACAUUCACACGCCAGGGCACAUCUUUUAUUUAUUUCAUUAUGUUGGCCAACAGAACUUGAUUGUAAAUAAUAAUAAAGAAAUCUGUUAUAUACUUUUC